This 412-nucleotide ribosomal RNA is filed under the name uncultured bacterium. RNAcentral's name for it is "bacterial SSU rRNA". It matches the Rfam family "Bacterial small subunit ribosomal RNA", at positions 355 to 764 of the family's 1533-position model. The record is from RNAcentral.
UAAGGAAUAUUGGUCAAUGGACGCAAGUCUGAACCAGCCAUGCCGCGUGGAGGAUUAAGGCCCUCUGGGUUGUAAACUCCUUUUAUCUGGGAAGAAAUGUACUUUUUCUUGAGUACUUGACGGUACCAGAGGAAUAAGCACCGGCUAACUCCGUGCCAGCAGCCGCGGUAAUACGGAGGGUGCAAGCGUUAUCCGGAUUCACUGGGUUUAAAGGGUGCGUAGGUGGGCAGGUAAGUCAGUGGUGAAAUCUCCGGGCUUAACCCGGAAACUGCCGUUGAUACUAUUUAUCUUGAAUAUUGUGGAGGUAAGCGGAAUAUGUCAUGUAGCGGUGAAAUGCUUAGAUAUGACAUAGAACACCAAUUGCGAAGGCAGCUUACUACACAAUCAUUGACGCUGAGGCACGAAAGCGUGG